Long non-coding RNA from Cyprinus carpio carpio, 1165 nucleotides. Lineage: Eukaryota; Metazoa; Chordata; Actinopteri; Cypriniformes; Cyprinidae. The record is from Ensembl.
UCGGCCCGCCGCGUUUAAACCAAUCAGAAACGUCAAUCAUUUUUUUUGCGCGCCAAAUACUGGCGGGAAAUUCUAAUUGAAGGUAAACAAGAUGGUGAAGCGGCGGUUUAUAAGCACACCAUCAUGCCGUGUCGGGAGAGAGUCUCUACACAUCUCCCGUCCAUUCAUCACUUAAAAAUACAUGGCAGACAUGAGGCUCCAUCUCUCUGUGCCGUGGUGUGUCCAUGUUUCUGUCAGGCGCUGAUCUCUGGUUGGCUGCCGUCUCUCAGCCUGGCACAUUGUUCAGAAACACCACCUCCCCUCGAGUUCCUCCUCGAUGGCACUGACGCUGGCCUACGUUUGGCAAGGCGCUAGCUGAAUGUGUGCCGCCUUUUGUUGCCCAGAGAACAGGCUGAUCCUGGCACAGAGUCGCUCUCCUUUCACAACCCUCCUCCCCACGAUGCCCCGGAGUCAUCUGGCAUCAUUCCACCAGACAUCAGACCGCGUGCCCCCGCAUGAGCUGGAAUACUGGAGCGCACUGUGCCUGUGUGUUCUGCUCUCAACCAGCACUGCUGGUGUACUGCAUGCUACUGCACUGCAUACUGAUGAAUGUUUUUGUUUAUAAACAAUGCAUUAUGCCUUAUAAUCAUUUUAAACAAUAGUAGUGUGUUAUGCUAUACUAUGCAUCGUCUCAACCUUUGGCUGUUCUGCCAAUAUAUUAAAAAUGCCGUGGUCAGCUGGAAGGACGGCGUUCCUGAUUUCUGCUGGAACGCUCCGGAGGGUCUCCAUGAGUCUCAGGUGCUCAUUACGGCUCGCAGCAGGUGUCUGCUCAUUUCACCCGCGUCCGCUGAUCUCAGUUCAGCCUCGUGCGCUCGUUCUGACGGGGUCGUGUGUCCCGCGUCUCUGCCUGACCUCACAAACACGCCGUCAUCAUGCGAAGCAGAAGUUUUGCAGAAAGCCAGAUGUCUGACAGCAUGCUCUUAUCAUCUGUUCCAAACCCUACAUAGACAGCACCCUUCUUAGGGAACAUCCUGUGGGUGAUUUAUACACGGAACACAAAUAUUGGAGAGACGUUUACGGUCAUCAGCGAGGAACGAGACUGAUCCACCUGCAGAAAAAGUGAUAUUUCAAGGCAAGAUGGUUCAUAUUGGGAACAAACAUGGGCAGAAGUUUUCAUUCAUACUUU